Molecule: ribosomal RNA, 189 nt
Filed under: uncultured Anaerolineaceae bacterium
Lineage: Bacteria; Bacillati; Chloroflexota; Anaerolineae; Anaerolineales; Anaerolineaceae
Description: partial 16S ribosomal RNA
Rfam family: Bacterial small subunit ribosomal RNA
Source: RNAcentral
CAUGACCUUUAUAUCCAGGGCUACACACACGCUACAAUGGUCUGUACAAUGGGUAGCCAAGCCGCGAGGCGGAGCCAAUCCUGAAAGCAGGCCUCAGUUCAGAUUGCAGUCUGCAACUCGACUGCAUGAAGCCGGAGUUGCUAGUAACCGCAGGUCAGCAAUACUGCGGUGAAUACGUUCCCGGGUCUU